GGGGGCGCACUGGUUUCGACGGGGGUGUGGAAACCGGAGAAGCGAGCCGCAGUUUGUCCAGUCUGCGUUAAAAGGGACACGUUAAAUAUAAACGCUAAAAAGAACAACAAUUUCGCAUUAGCUGCUUAGUUCAGCACCGCGCGCAUGCCCGGGUUCACCUGCAGGUCCGGAACCAUGCGUCAAACAUGCAGGAAAACCUUAUGUGAAUGCCCGGCAGCAUAAGGGACUAACGGGAUAGCUGAUGAUAUAGCCUGCUUUUGGGCGAUGUUUGAGGCGAAACUUUAAAACAAAAGCUGCGCUCGGAGAAACUCCUGUGAAAAUGCUUUCGGACAUGGGUUCGAUUCCCAUCGCUUCCACCA
This 359-nucleotide transfer-messenger RNA is filed under the name Clostridiales bacterium. It matches the Rfam family "transfer-messenger RNA". Rfam says of the family: Bacterial tmRNA, also known as 10Sa RNA or SsrA, is named for its dual tRNA and mRNA-like properties. Its role is to liberate the mRNA from a stalled ribosome. Lineage: Bacteria; Bacillati; Bacillota; Clostridia; Eubacteriales. The record is from RNAcentral. RNAcentral also lists the same sequence under 3 other names.